This 691-nucleotide long non-coding RNA is filed under the name Oryza sativa (Asian cultivated rice). Its description in RNAcentral is "long non-coding RNA (OSAT_LNC001728)". The record is from RNAcentral. Lineage: Eukaryota; Viridiplantae; Streptophyta; Magnoliopsida; Poales; Poaceae.
CGAGAUAGAGUUGUGGAGGCGUGGAGCCCUGCCCGCCUUGGUUGCGUUCUGCCGGUGAGGUUCUUGUGCUGUACUCCCUUUUGUCUAUAAAAAACGAAUGUAGAAUCGGAUAUGACAUAUUCUAUUACGAUGAAUCUGAACAUUUAUAUGUCUAGAUUUAUAGUACUAGUAUGUGUCACAUCUAGUACCAGGUUAGUUUUUUAGACCAUUCACAGUGCGGUGAGGUAGCGUGUGGCAAUCUCUAUCCACGUCGGCCCAAUGCAUACGUGGAGGAGAGAAGGAGGUGAGGCGCGCGUUUUUACCAGCUUCGCGUGGCUAGUUUUGGCUCCGAGAACCUCAGCAAAUUGUUAGAGAAAAACACAUGCCACAGAGCAGGAGAGAGAGAGUGAAGAAGCUCGCCGGAGAGGGAGAGGAGUAGGGGCGCCAAAUCCGAGCCAGAUCCACACCGAGUUCGCCAUCCCAUCCGGCGGCGACGAGAGGAGCUCGCCCGCGGAGGUGGUGAAGCGACGGCGCCCUCGCUAGCCAACGCCGAGCUCCCCCGCCGCCGAAUCCUCCGCCGCCCGCUUCCGCGUGCUGACCUCGCCGUUGUUUCGGCGAGGGGGGGGGGAGGGUGGUGCGCCGGCGAGCGCCAAGCGCGGCACCCCUGCCGUCGGCAGCGGAGGAGCUCGGCCCGACUCGGCGCUAUGGGGUG